Molecule: unclassified non-coding RNA, 240 nt
Filed under: soil metagenome
Description: partial contains 5.8S ribosomal RNA, internal transcribed spacer 2, and large subunit ribosomal RNA
Source: RNAcentral
AACGCACGAGACCUGCGGACCUGCGGAAGGAUCAUUACCGAGUUAGGGUCUUCUUAGGCCCGACCUCCCAACCCUGUGUUUAUUGAACCGAUGUUGCUUCGGCGGGCCCGUCUUACGACCGCCGGAGGACCGUAAGAGGUCCUCUGGCCCGCGCCCGCCGGUGGCCAUAACUUUACAAACUCUGGUUAAAGCGUGUCACUGUCUGAGUACUAUUUUUAAUUAACGCAAAACUUUUAGCAA